UCCCGGUGGCUCAGACUUUAAAGAAUCUGCCUGGAAUGCAGGAGACCUGGGUUCAAUUCCUGGAUUGGGAA
RNAcentral lists this transfer RNA (71 nucleotides) under Bos taurus (domestic cattle). It matches the Rfam family "tRNA". Rfam says of the family: Transfer RNA (tRNA) molecules are approximately 80 nucleotides in length. Their secondary structure includes four short double-helical elements and three loops (D, anti-codon, and T loops). Lineage: Eukaryota; Metazoa; Chordata; Mammalia; Artiodactyla; Bovidae. RNAcentral also lists the same sequence under 5 other names. The record is from Rfam by way of RNAcentral.